This 841-nucleotide long non-coding RNA is filed under the name Trifolium pratense (red clover). RNAcentral describes it as "long non-coding RNA (TPRA_LNC006390)". The record is from RNAcentral. Lineage: Eukaryota; Viridiplantae; Streptophyta; Magnoliopsida; Fabales; Fabaceae.
GCUUUCAAUGAGACGUCAUUGCAGAUCUACCAUUAAUGAGACUGAGGCUUCAACUUUGCCUAGUAAAAAAUAAAUAAGGGGUAUAGAAGUAAUUAUAGUUUAUCAUUGUCUUCAAUGAAGGCUUUCUCUCCAACUGAGAUUCAUUCUUUCAUUUAGUAGUUUAAUGAAAGAGAAAAAAACCAAACUGAGAAGGAGACAAUGAACACGACGAAGGAUGCUAUACUAUCUGCGACCUCUAACCGUUUUCGGAGAAGAACAGAACUCUCUGUGUUUCUGCUCUUCCAAAUCUGCUUAUUGCAGCGGAAGAUUUCUUCAUUUCUCACGUUCGCAACCACCGCAACGUCUCUUUCACGAUAAGAAUUCCUCAGAUCUUUGUUUAGAUAGAUCUCUGUGUUCAAACUAUUGUUAAAUCGAUUGUGUUCAAACAUCAAUUUCAAUUCAAUUUCAUCGGUUAUGAACGUAACUGUUUGUGUUUCUCGUCUUCCAAAUCGCUUAUUGCAGCGGAAGAUUUCUUCAUUUCUCACAAUUGCAAUCACCGCGCAACGUCUCUUUCACGGUAAGAAUUCCUCAGAUCUAUGUUUUUUCUCUGUGUUCAGACUAUUGUUAAAUCGAUUGAUACACUGUAUUUUUUUAUUUCCCUGUGUAUAUCAAAUUUCAAUCUGUGCUGAUUUUCAGCUAGUUAGUUUAUGUGUUUCUGACUUUUUAAUUGAAAAUUUUAAUUCAUUAUUUAGCAAGCGCUUAUCAAACCAGUGGCAUUAACUGAAAAGUAGUAAUUUGAAGAACAAAGUCAUAGAUAGAUAGAUAGAUAGAUAGAUAGAUAGAUAGAUAGAUAGAUAGAUAG